UACGGGGGGGGCAAGCGUUGUUCGGAAUUACUGGGCGUAAAGGGCUCGUAGGCGGCCAAUUAAGUCAGACGUGAAAUCCCUCGGCUUAACCGGGGAACUGCGUCUGAUACUGGAUGGCUAGAGGUUGGGAGAGGGAUGCGGAAUUCCAGGUGUAGCGGUGAAAUGCGUAGAUAUCUGGAGGAACACCGGUGGCGAAGGCGGCAUCCUGGACCAAUUCUGACGCUGAGGAGCGAAAGCCAGGGGAGCAAACGGG
RNAcentral lists this ribosomal RNA (253 nucleotides) under uncultured bacterium. RNAcentral's name for it is "partial 16S ribosomal RNA". It matches the Rfam family "Bacterial small subunit ribosomal RNA", at positions 524 to 776 of the family's 1533-position model. The record is from RNAcentral.